ACGAACGCUGGCGGCAGGCCUAACACAUGCAAGUCGAACGGCCGUAGCAAUACGGAGUGGCAGACGGGUGAGUAACGCGUGGGAACAUACCCCUCGGGUUCGAAUAACUCAGGGAAACUUGAGCUAAUACCGGAUACGUCCGAGGUUUUAAUCGACCUUGGAGAAAGAUUUAUCGCCGGAGGAUUGGCCCGCGUCUGAUUAGCUUGCUGGUGAGGUAAUGGCUCACCAAGGCGACGANCAGUAGCUGGUCUGAGAGGAUGAUCAGCCACAUUGGGACUGAGACACGGCCCAAA
RNAcentral lists this ribosomal RNA (293 nucleotides) under uncultured bacterium. RNAcentral's name for it is "partial 16S ribosomal RNA". It matches the Rfam family "Bacterial small subunit ribosomal RNA", at positions 29 to 335 of the family's 1533-position model. The record is from RNAcentral.